Molecule: ribosomal RNA, 497 nt
Filed under: uncultured bacterium
Lineage: Bacteria
Description: partial 16S ribosomal RNA
Rfam family: Bacterial small subunit ribosomal RNA
Source: RNAcentral
GAUGGACGCUGGCGGCGUGCCUAAUACAUGCAAGUCGAGCGAACGAACGAGAAGCUUGCUUCUCUGAUGUUAGCGGCGGACGGGUGAGUAACACGUGGAUAACCUACCUAUAAGACUGGGAUAACUUCGGGAAACCGGAGCUAAUACCGGAUAAUAUUUUGAACCGCAUGGUUCAAAAGUGAAAGACGGUCUUGCUGUCACUUAUAGAUGGAUCCGCGCUGCAUUAGCUAGUUGGUAAGGUAACGGCUUACCAAGGCAACGAUGCAUAGCCGACCUGAGAGGGUGAUCGGCCACACUGGAACUGAGACACGGUCCAGACUCCUACGGGAGGCAGCAGUAGGGAAUCUUCCGCAAUGGGCGAAAGCCUGACGGAGCAACGCCGCGUGAGUGAUGAAGGUCUUCGGAUCGUAAAACUCUGUUAUUAGGGAAGAACAAAUGUGUAAGUAACUGUGCACAUCUUGACGGUACCUAAUCAGAAAGCCACGGCUAACUACGUG